CCUACGGGCGGCUGCAGUGGGGAAUAUUGGACAAUGGGCGAAAGCCUGAUCCAGCCAUGCCGCGUGUGUGAAGAAGGCCUUCGGGUUGUAAAGCACUUUCAGUGGGGAAGAAAGCCUUGGGGCUAAUACCCUCGAGGAAGGACAUCACCCACAGAAGAAGCACCGGCUAACUCCGUGCCAGCAGCCGCGGUAAUACGGAGGGUGCGAGCGUUAAUCGGAAUUACUGGGCGGAAAGCGCGCGUAGGCGGUCUGAUAAGCCGGUUGUGAAAGCCCCGGGCUCAACCUGGGAACGGCAUCCGGAACUGUCAGGCUAGAGUGCAGGAGAGGAAGGUAGAAUUCCCGGUGUAGCGGUGAAAUGCGUAGAGAUCGGGAGGAAUACCAGUGGCGAAGGCGGCCUUCUGGACCGACACUGACGCUGAGGUGCGAAAGCGUGGGUAGCAAACAGGAUUAGAUACCCUGUAGUC
Molecule: ribosomal RNA, 464 nt
Filed under: Vreelandella stevensii
Lineage: Bacteria; Pseudomonadati; Pseudomonadota; Gammaproteobacteria; Oceanospirillales; Halomonadaceae
Description: partial 16S ribosomal RNA
Rfam family: Bacterial small subunit ribosomal RNA
Source: RNAcentral